CUUUUAGCAUGUUAUUAUUGCCAAGUACAUAUUAAACCUUGAUCAACAGCACUCCAUACAGUAAAACCUUAAGUGUAAAGAAACUUGGAUCACAACAUAUUAGACAAAGAGGAAAAUCAGAUCCUAACACACAUACAUAACCUGAUAGAAGGAAUUUAGUUUAAAAAAUUAAAAGCAAGCCAAACAAAAUGUCCUGGUUUAGGUAUACAUUUAGCCCAAUGCCUACGUAUCUUCUACAUUUGCUUCAGCAAUGCUGUUCUUUGAGAAAUGAGGUUCAC
RNAcentral lists this long non-coding RNA (278 nucleotides) under Pan troglodytes (chimpanzee). RNAcentral's name for it is "long non-coding RNA NONPTRT005345". Lineage: Eukaryota; Metazoa; Chordata; Mammalia; Primates; Hominidae. The record is from RNAcentral.